GCCAGAAUGAGUGGUGAUGACAUGAGGAUUGUGGUACAUGAUUAAGUGGGGUGUGUGAUGAUCAUCAUGAAUUAUGAAAAAAAAAAAAAAAAGGGGGGGGUGAGGGGAAGUACAACUGGCUUAGAUGGAGACUGCUAAUGUGUCAUGUUGGGAGAUCUGCAUAGAAGUCCUAUUGGUUUGGGCUUUAUUUGGUCUGAAAAGAGAAUAAAUUGUGUUGUCUUUUCUUCUUUCUCUCUCUCUCUCUCUCUCUUUUUUUUUUUUUUUUUUUUUUUUGGCAGAGGAUCUUUGUAGGGAAGCUGGGAUCUGACAUGGUUUGGUUCCUGCCAUUGUGUGGUAUGUACCUUGGGCUGAUGGGAGCAAAGGGAACACUGGGACACCUGUGCCUUCAGCUGCUCACCUGCAGCCCAGGCCUGCCAUGGCAGCUCACAGCUGCUCUGCUGUGUGCUGUGGUUUCCACCUACCUGGGGUGGUUGGGCUUGGCUAUAUACUCAUGAAAACUACUAGAUUGACAAUGGCAGAGAAUAAAGUUCUGGGCGGGGAUUGCAUCUGUGAACAUCUCAGGAGACAGGCAAGGAGCUUCAGGUGCCCAGGUGGUGCUUUCAGACUCUUCUUGCCCCCAUUCCUUCCUUUCCCAGAGUGGAUAACCUGGCUAAGUUUAAGUACAUGAGUGAUUGCUUUAACUUUAAUGCAGAACAUCCUGGGACACUAAUUUUUACAUACAUGCAUGGUUAUGAUUAUCGUUAAUUCCAAACUUGCUUAUAUGAAAAGGUUGCAUCAUUACUGUGUUUCAAAAUUAUAUUUAAAUCGAUUGUGCUUCUGCACUGCUGUCUUCUGUCUAUGUUGCCUCUCUUCCAAUUAGAGUGGAUGACAUGCUGAAAUAUUGUUGUGGUAGACUUGAAAUUCCUAAAGCAGAACAUACCAGAGAUUUCAGGAGAACAACCCCCUCUUUUGUUCUACAGCAGAUUUUUCUGUUGUCCAAAUGCCUCCCUGGUGACAGCCCUCACGAGUAAACAAUUUUUUGGUCACCAGCAGCAGGGGCUUACCCAGCAGUUCCUGCUUUCUGUGUUGUACCAGUUCUCCUGCCCCAACUGCUGCUGCUGAUCUAAGUGCACUGAAUUGAAUAGCAAGGAGCUAACACCCCCCUCAGACGCUAUCACCCCUCUCAGACACUAUCCAGGAUCUUUUGUUCAGUCCCCAAAAUGAAACUGGCAGAGCAAGCAACAGACAUUUCCAUGCUAAUCCCAUAUUAUAAAUAGCCACAAAGGAAGACGGCUAAGGAAAUUGCAUGUGUUUUUUU
This 1297-nucleotide long non-coding RNA is filed under the name Anas platyrhynchos platyrhynchos (common mallard). Its description in RNAcentral is "lncRNA (ENSAPLG00000019634.1)". The record is from RNAcentral. Lineage: Eukaryota; Metazoa; Chordata; Aves; Anseriformes; Anatidae.